AAUAGAUACCCAGGUAGUCCACGCCGUAAACGAUGGAUACUAGCUGUUCGGGAUUACCUGAGUGGCUAAGCGAAAGUGAUAAGUAUCCCACCUGGGGAGUACGGGCGCAAGCCUGAAACUCAAAGGAAUUGACGGGGGCCCGCACAAGCGGUGGAGCAUGUGGUUUAAUUCGAUGAUACGCGAGGAACCUUACCAGGGCUUAAAUGUAGGUUGCAUGAUCCAGAGAUGUGUCUUUCUUCGGACCACCUACAAGGUGCUGCAUGGUUGUCGUCAACUCGUGCCGUGAGGUGUCAGGUUAAGUCCUAUAACGAGCGCAACCCCUAUUGUUAGUUGCCAGCGAGUCAUGUCGGGAACUCUAGCAAGACUGCCGGUGCAAACCGUGAGGAAGGUGGGGAGUGACGUCAAAUCAUCACGGCCCUUACGUCCUGGGCUACACACGUGCUACAAUGGUGGGGACAGAGAGCAGCCACUGGGCGACCAGGAGCGAAUCUAUAAACCCCAUCACAGUUCGGAUCGGAGU
This 520-nucleotide ribosomal RNA is filed under the name uncultured bacterium. Its description in RNAcentral is "bacterial SSU rRNA". It matches the Rfam family "Bacterial small subunit ribosomal RNA", at positions 777 to 1304 of the family's 1533-position model. The record is from RNAcentral.